RNAcentral lists this small RNA (28 nucleotides) under Bombyx mori (domestic silkworm). Its description in RNAcentral is "ovarian small RNA-18397". Lineage: Eukaryota; Metazoa; Arthropoda; Insecta; Lepidoptera; Bombycidae. The record is from RNAcentral.
UAAAGUCAGACACAUCGUUGGUUGGUGU